This 911-nucleotide long non-coding RNA is filed under the name Patiria miniata (bat star). RNAcentral's name for it is "uncharacterized LOC119743486". The record is from RNAcentral. Lineage: Eukaryota; Metazoa; Echinodermata; Asteroidea; Valvatida; Asterinidae.
UCACCUCAGAGAUCUUCAAGAUUGAGAUCCAAAACCUCCCAAGACAUUUUGGAUUUGCGGUUCCCUGAAGUCCAUCCAGAUGAUCCCUAAUAAGACAGCAGACGGUACAGGCAUCAACUCCGACACCCUGGCCUUACAGGUGAAGACCCAUCCUGAGCUGAGGGACUAGCUUCAUGUCGUCACCUCUUGGGGGCCUUUGCCUGUCUACCCUGGGGUGGUCAACUCCGAAUUACCUGAGGAAGUACGUUACCUGUCUUCACGGAGGCUACGGUCUCGGACUGGACGAUUCUUGACCUGGAUCCUAAACCACAUGCAUAUCAGGGACGUCUGCUUCUACCCACGCUUCAUAAAACGAUGCAUGCCAUAGAUGCGUCAACAUGUUGCCUUCAAUUCUUGAUUCUAAGCAUUGCUUAAUAUUUAGUGUGGGAAAUCAAGAUUAAUAAGGGGUGGGGCUAGGUUGAUCAAGUGGGGGGGGGUGAUUGUAUGCCCUAAGACCAAAUUUUUAGAGAUAAUUAUGCCAUUGUAUUGUAAGGUAUUUCUUCAAGGUGCAGUUUUAAACUUUCUUCACAGUUCGCUCUUUUAGUUUCAAGUAGUUUUGGUUUUUUUUUACCAAAACUCAUAACAAAUUGCAAGGGUUCAACCUAACAUUUCUUAUGAAAUUUGGCCAAAUCAGGACUUGCCUCCAAAUGACUCGGAAAUUCCCUACGAUGUAAGAUGAGUUUCAAUCAGUGUUCAAAAAUCCAUUUUUAUGAAGAUUUGAGCAAAAAUUACCGGUUUAUUGAUUGGAAAGAAGUUAUCUUUUGUGACCACAAUUUCUCCCACAUUUCUGAUGUGAUUAUCUGUUGCAUGGAAUAUCUGACCAGAAAUCGUGUUGGAAUUGGGCCUCAAGUACUUUAGGCCCCCCCCCCCCA